CAUUUUUGAAAGAUCCAGAACCACCGAGAGUCAUUUCGUUAAUUCUCUGCUCAUCUCCUCCUCGUCGUUGUUCUUCAUUUCUUCCCUCAUCGCAGCUGGCUUGCAUCUUUCCUUUUCUUCUGUCAUACGUCCGCCGUUGAGCUUGCUUGUUUCUCUCCGUUGAGGAUCUACUUUGAAACGUUGCUGUGUUCAGAUCAUCGGAGCUUACUGCUGCUGCGAGAAAGCUGUUCAAGUCGACCUACUCGCUCCUUGCUCAGGCUUCACCGUUGAUUCCUUCUUCUCCCUCCUUCGGCGUCGUCUAGGUGAUAGUGAGUGGAGCUCGUCCUUCUUCCCCUCCGUUGGUCUGCCACUGUUACCGGUAAUUGUAAGGAAGGUAGCUUGAUUGGAGUUGUAAGAAAUGAAUUUUGAGUUUUGAAGAUUCCACAGGUAAGUUGAUAGCGUCCCAACUGAUAUUUCAUUAAAAUCUCUUUUAUUCAAAUAUUAC
Prosopis cineraria is the source of this 484-nucleotide long non-coding RNA. RefSeq lists it as uncharacterized. NCBI's taxonomy places the organism in Eukaryota, Viridiplantae, Streptophyta, Magnoliopsida, Fabales, Fabaceae. The transcript has 3 exons. The record is from RefSeq and is a predicted model, not a curated record.